This 497-nucleotide ribosomal RNA is filed under the name uncultured bacterium. RNAcentral describes it as "partial 16S ribosomal RNA". It matches the Rfam family "Bacterial small subunit ribosomal RNA", at positions 28 to 507 of the family's 1533-position model. The record is from RNAcentral.
GACGAACGCUGGCGGCGUGCCUAAUACAUGCAAGUUGAGCGAUGAAGAUUGGUGCUUGCACCAAUUUGAAGAGCAGCGAACGGGUGAGUAACGCGUGGGGAAUCUGCCUUUGAGCGGGGGACAACAUUUGGAAACGAAUGCUAAUACCGCAUAACAACUUUAAACAUAAGUUUUAAGUUUGAAAGAUGCAAUUGCAUCACUCAAAGAUGAUCCCGCGUUGUAUUAGCUAGUUGGUGAGGUAAAGGCUCACCAAGGCGAUGAUACAUAGCCGACCUGAGAGGGUGAUCGGCCACAUUGGGACUGGGACACGGCCCAAACUCCUACGGGAGGCAGCAGUAGGGAAUCUUCGGCAAUGGACGAAAGUCUGACCGGGCAACGCCGCGUGAGUGAAGAAGGUUUUCGGGUCGUAAAACUCUGUUGGUAGAGAAGAACGUUGGUGAGAGUGGAAAGCUCAUCAAGUGACGGUAACUACCCAGAAAGGGACGGCUAACUACGUG